Molecule: non-coding RNA, 219 nt
Organism: Pelobates cultripes (western spadefoot toad)
Lineage: Eukaryota; Metazoa; Chordata; Amphibia; Anura; Pelobatidae
Source: the annotation of a GenBank genome assembly
CAGAGAAAUUGCAAAAAACACAAGUUACAUCUCAGACUCUUGGCCCCAGUGUGUUUAAAUGUUAAAGUUCGGGACAGUAAAAUAAAAGACUGCACAAGUAUGGUUUGUUUGGAAGGGUUUCUGUGAGAGAGCCCCUUCUCUCUAAAUAGAACAUGGCAGCACAGCUUAGGUUUGCAAAGCUGCAUCUGGACAAGCCACAACACUUUUGGAACGAUGUCC